This 312-nucleotide ribosomal RNA is filed under the name uncultured Glomeromycotina. Its description in RNAcentral is "LSU rRNA". Lineage: Eukaryota; Fungi; Glomeromycota. The record is from RNAcentral.
UUGAAAGGGAAACGAUUGAAGUCAGUCAUGCUGGUGGGAAUCAACUUAGGGGAAACUCUAGGUGCACUUCUUCGCUUGGCAGGUUAACGUCGAUCUUGAAUGCCAUAAAAUAAUUGGGGGAAGGUAGCUCCUUCGGGAGUGUUAUAGCCCUUGAUAGAUGUGAUGUUUGGGGUCGAGGAUUGCAACGAAUACCCUUUGGGGCUAGCCGCCUGAUCUCUAAUCGGUGUUGGGUUACGGAUAGCAUGCUGACCGUGAUCUAAUUACUGGUUAAAAGGUUAGAGCGUGCAUAAAUUCGUUAAGGAUGUUGACGUA